This 222-nucleotide unclassified non-coding RNA is filed under the name uncultured fungus. RNAcentral describes it as "partial contains 5.8S ribosomal RNA, internal transcribed spacer 2, and large subunit ribosomal RNA". Lineage: Eukaryota; Fungi. The record is from RNAcentral.
AACGCACAUUGCGCCUCCUUCACGGGGGGCAUGCCUGUCUGAGUGUCAUUUAAACCAAAUGGACCUAUAUAGGUUCCGUGUUGGGCCUCGCUCUUCCAAGAGCGUCGCCUCGAGGCCAUUGGUCUGAUGUGCGGGCGAGUUCCUCUAGGACGGACCGCGCUGUGGACCGCGAGACUUUCUGAUUUUGACCUCAGAUCAGGUAGGGACACCGCCUGAACUUAA